UGAAUACGAGACGCUAAGGCGUCGAAGUAGUGUAUGUCAUACUUCCAAGAAAAGCUUGCACUGUCAUAGAUAAAAAACGCCUGUACCAUAACCGACACAGGUGGGUAGGUAGAGUAUACUAAGGGGCGCGAGAUAACUCUCUCUAAGGAACUCGGCAAAAUAACUCCGUAACUUCGGGAGAAGGAGUGCCUUAUUCUUAAGGUUGCAAUAACAAGAUCCAAGCAACUGUUUAUCAAAAACACAGGUCUCCGCUAAGUCGUAAGACGAUGUAUGGGGGCUGACGCCUGCCCAGUGCCAGAAGGUUAAAGAAGCUGGUUAGCAUUUGCGAAGCUAGUAACUGAAGCCCUGGUGAACGGCGGCCGUAACAAUAACGGUCCUAAGGUAGCGAAAUUCCUUGUCGGGUAAGUUCCGACCCGCACGAAAGGCGUAAUGAUUUGGAUACUGUCUCGGAGAGGGGCUCGGUGAAGUAGACUUGUCUGUGAAGAUGCGGACUACCUGCACCAGGACAGAAAGACCCUAUGAAGCUUUACUGUAACUUGAAAUUGAAAUUGGACUUUAUUCGCGCAGUAUAGGUGGGAGGCGUUGAUUAUAAUCUUGCGGGAUUAUUGGAGCCAUUAGUGAGAUACCACUCUUGUAAUGUUAGAUUUCUAACUUUGAAUCAUUAUCUGGUCAAAGAACAGUUUCAGGCGGGCAGUUUGACUGGGGCGGUCGCCUCCUAAACGGUAACGGAGGCGUACAAAGGUUUCCUCUGAACGGUUAGAAAUCGUAUCUAGAGUGUAAAGGCAUAAGGAAGCUUGACUGUGAGACCUACAAGUCGAGCAGGGACGAAAGUCGGUCUUAGUGAUCUGACGGUACUGAGUGGAAAGGCCGUCACUCAACGGAUAAAAGUUACUCUAAGGAUAACAGGCUGAUCUCCCCCAAGAGUUCACAUCGACGGGGAGGUUUGGCACCUCGAUGUCGGCUCAUCGCAUCCUGGGGCGGUAGUACGUCCCAAGGGUUGGGCUGUUCGCCCAUGAAAGCGGUACGCGAGCUGGGUUCAGAACGUCGUGAGACAGUUCGGUCCAUAUCCGGUGUAGGCGUUAGAAUAUUGAGAGGAGCCUUCUUUAGUACGAGAGGACCGAGAAGGACAUACCUCUGGUGUACCAGUUAUCGUGCCAACGGUAAACGCUGGGUAGCUAUGUAUGGAGUGGAUAACCGCUGAAAGCAUCUAAGUGGGAAGCCCACCUCAAGAUAAGUAUUCUCAU
Molecule: ribosomal RNA, 1244 nt
Filed under: metagenome
Description: bacterial LSU rRNA
Rfam family: Bacterial large subunit ribosomal RNA
Source: RNAcentral